This is a long non-coding RNA of Papaver somniferum (opium poppy), 2379 nucleotides long. RefSeq lists it as uncharacterized. The transcript is spliced from 3 exons. The record is from RefSeq and is a predicted model, not a curated record. NCBI's taxonomy places the organism in Eukaryota, Viridiplantae, Streptophyta, Magnoliopsida, Ranunculales, Papaveraceae.
GCUAAUGCCGUGUUCCUGUAAGCUAAAACUGGCUAGUCACUCCGUUCCCCGUAUCUAAAACCCCUCCUAACUAAUUUUAGGGUUUUAAAUUGUCCAUUUCUUUGUGCUUCUUCUCGUUGGUUACAGCAAGUCCCAAAUUCAAAACUAGGUUAGUUGUUGUUAAAUUCAAAUUCAGGUUCAAGAAUUGCUUAUCAUUUACUGGCGACGAAGGUGUUGGAUCAAAUAACUCAAUUUCAGGUACAAGAUUGGUUUCAAAACAAGUGUCAAGCUGGACCAGAUAAAGUUAAUAACUCUCCUCUUACUACCCAAAUCAAGAGGUUUCUCUCAGCAACUCGUCGUUUUCAGACAGCAAACGUGAAGAUUAUUCUGACAACUCUCAAGGCACCAUAUUGGUUUCAAAACAAGUGUCAAUCUGGAUCACAUAAAGUUACUAACUCAAGAGGUUUCUCUCAGAAACUCGUCGUUUUCAAAUAGCAAAUGUGAAGAUUAUUCUGACAACUCUGGAGGUUUUCUCUUUUCCUUGUAUGGUCAAAUGAUUAAUUUUGCAUUCCAUCUAUUGUUUAGCAUCAUCAUCCUUAACCUGCACUAUUUUUAACAUCUAUGAGGUUAUGUUUUCGAUUACAGCACAUCAACUUCAUUAUUGUAAUGAGAAUAUUUUCUGUUAGGAUUUGCAUUGGUGCCAUUUAUCAUGUAAAACUCAGCAAGUCUUUAAUUAGGAUAAGAAGUAAAACUCAAUAUGUUACCUUGUUCACUGCAGACAAGUAAACUUAGUUAAGCACUUUUCUGAACAAAGACUAUAAAGUAGAUAGAGAUGGAAUAUUGAUGUAUAGUAACCUCUUAGUCAGUUUGGAUAAAGCUCAGGUCAUACAGUUGGGGCAAUCAGAGGAUAUGAAAACGUCGCUUCAAAGGUUUGAUGAAAAUUACUGUAAUAUUUCGAGAAAAUUACACUGAUCAGUCUGAUUCUAGAUUUUAUAAAGUAGGUGGUUCUUAGGAGGUACUUAGUCAUCCCUUAGGGAACAUCUGAUAAAUAUAAAGGAAUUUCUUAGUCACAAAUUUAUUCUUCCUUAUCCGUAAUCUUGCACUAUAUGCAUAAUCCUUUUCCAAAGAUCGGCUUUUUAUAAUUCUUUAUAGAAUACUCCCUCCUUCAACAAAAAGUGGGUCGUUCAGGUUUUCAUUGUCUUUCAGUGUAUUAAAUAGGCAAAAAUGAAAGACUCAUUUUUUGUGGGAUGGAAAUAGUAUGUUAGACUUUGCUUGCCUUUAGCGUAGAACAAUUGCUUCCGUACCUUAUAAAAUCUGCUGAAACGUUGUAUUCCAUUAGCUUCUAAACGGUACUUUUGUUUGUAGUGUUGUAAUUAACCUAGCUGAUGUGAGUAGGGUAAUAGAUAGUUGGUCGUGUUAUAAUUUUAUAUGCCAAGACGUUAACUAAGUUACAACCUAACCAAUUCAUAUUUAUACCUCAGGCUCGAAAUCGGCUGACGUUCAUGAUUUCUCUUUAGUCUCUUCUGGUUUACUGAUCCCUUUAUUUCUAUUAAAAUCUCUUGUGUAGUUCUUUCUGUUUUUCUUCCCUUUUCUCUUUGACAUACGAUUGAUAACUACUGAGGUGGUGGUGUUGAGCAGAGAGGCUUAUAUUUCUGGAGUACCUUCUCUUUCAAUCCUAGUAGCUGUGCUAGACAGGCUUUGAGCUGGUCAUAAACCACGCAUAUUGACAGUCUUUUUCGGUUAGAGAACCCCACUUUGUUAUCUUUUUCUUAGUUUCCUUCUUCAUCUUUUGAGCAGUUUGUUCUUCAGGAUUUUCUUCAGUCUUUAAGGCAUCCGUGUCUCAUUGACUACUCUAUUCUAUCGCUAUCCUCCGUAGUUUCUCACUGUCGGUCUCCCGUGAUAAGAAAAGAAGUGUAAUUCCGCAUUCAGGAUAUGGAGGGCAAUUCUAAGCAAAUUGAGGAUGAGGAGGAAGAAGAGGAAUACGUGUUACUUGAUCUUGAAGCUGUUUAUGAACAAGUAAACAUCCCGCCUAAUGCACCUUAUGAUCUAUCUGGUUUGGAUACUUUGAAUCCAGUUUUGGAAUUAGGCGACAAUUUGAAGCUGAUAGGAAUAUACGAGGAAACUAUUGGUACAUGCCUCGUGUUCUCAGAAAAAGAUGGUGGUCCUGUGGUGCACGAGGAGACGGGACCCUCAGAUCAAAACCUUUUCAAAGGAGCUUGCAUUGUUGAUCCAAAUCAAACUUCAGCUAAGCAAGUAAAACCUGUUGCCAGCCUUCAGAAAAUUCUCAAGUUUAGAUUGCCAUCUGAAGAAGAUUGACUAGAAAACUCUGGUAGUAAUUUUAUUUUUUGUCUACAUUUUAAUGAAAAUUAAAAAUUGUGCAUUCUUGCACCAAAGUCUAAA